AUACGGAGGGUGCAAGCGUUAAUCGGAAUUACUGGGCGUAAAGGGUACGUAGGCGGUUAAAUAAGUUGGAUGUGAAAGCCCCGGGCUUAACCUGGGAACUGCAUUCAAAACUGUUUGACUAGAGUGUAUGAGAGGUUGGCGGAAUUCCAGGUGUAGCAGUGAAAUGCGUAGAUAUCUGGAGGAACAUCAGUGGCGAAGGCGGCCAACUGGCAUAACACUGACGCUGAGGUACGAAAGCGUGGGGAGCGAACGGGAUUAGAUACCCCAGUAGUCC
RNAcentral lists this ribosomal RNA (274 nucleotides) under uncultured bacterium. RNAcentral's name for it is "partial 16S ribosomal RNA". It matches the Rfam family "Bacterial small subunit ribosomal RNA", at positions 523 to 796 of the family's 1533-position model. The record is from RNAcentral.